UACGUAGGGUCCAAGCGUUAUCCGGAAUCACUGGGCGUAAAGCGUGUGUAGGCGGCGCGUUAAGUGUAAUGCGAAAUCCUGUGGCCCAACCAUAUGGACUGUAUUGCAUACUGGCGUGCUGGAGGUCGGCAGAGGCAAGUGGAACUCGUAGUGUAGCAGUGAAAUGCGUAGAUAUUACGAAGAACACCAAUGGCGAAGGCAGCUUGCUGGGCCGAAUCUGACGCUGAGACACGAAAGCGUGGGGAGCGAACAGG
Molecule: ribosomal RNA, 254 nt
Filed under: uncultured bacterium
Lineage: Bacteria
Description: partial 16S ribosomal RNA
Rfam family: Bacterial small subunit ribosomal RNA
Source: RNAcentral